RNAcentral lists this long non-coding RNA (9484 nucleotides) under Fragaria vesca (wild strawberry). Its description in RNAcentral is "long non-coding RNA (FVES_LNC003950)". The record is from RNAcentral. Lineage: Eukaryota; Viridiplantae; Streptophyta; Magnoliopsida; Rosales; Rosaceae.
UUUUUUCUUUUUCUUUUUCUUUUCCAAUAGUUGUGUUGGAUAGAAAUUAGGCUUUGUAUGAGGCGUGGAAAAACUGAAAAAGGGAAGCCAGGGUGAUAACAAACUCAGGAGGGGAGUGUAGCUUUUGGCCUUUUGCUGCUAAAACUUACUUACAACACUAUCUACUCCUCGACAGAGCUGAUGUUGUUUCUAUAGAUACAAAACUACAAAGCAGUGUAUCAGUGCCUUACAGUUCUUGAUCUUGUUAAUUGUCAGUGAUGUUAGGUUGGUGGGGAAGGAAGUUGUAGUUGUCAAACCUUCAAAGUAAUCAAUACUUCGUAUUUCAAGAUUACUGGUGUGCAUCAUGUCUCUCGCCAACUGUGCCACCUCCAAUUUAUCGCGAUCUCUGAGCGAUGCUCAAAUUUCUUGGCCACACAUUCAUUCUCGGCAACGAAACAAGACUUUGACAAUCCGCAACACUUAAUGGCCGAAGAGUGGUGAGGUGGCACAGUCCCUCGGGUAAGGAUUUCAGGUUUGGGCAGUCCCAGACUAUAAUUUCUUCGAGUUGACAGCUGUCAUCGAGGAACCUCUCACUGAUUAGCUUCAACUGUCCACAACCCCAUAUCUCAAGCUUUCUAAGAGUUUUGGGCAACUGGCCUUUGCAUAAUAAGCACGUCAAAGAUGGACAAUUCCUUAUCUUCAAAUGCUCAAGACAAGAAGAAAAAAACCGUCUCCCAUCUCCUCCUCUAUCUCUAUCAAUGAUUUCAAAUUCCCACAAUUCGUGAUCUAUAUUCUUCUUAGGCUGGGAGGAAUCUGGUAUUUUGCGAAGUGUGAAAGAGAUUUGCAGUCCUCAAUCACUAUGACUUGGAGACAAGGUGGCAAACCAGAUCCGGAAAAGAAACAAGACUUGAACUUAAUUCCAGACGUUCAAUAUUGCAAUCCAGAAUUUGCAAUUGCACCAACUUCUCUGCUUCAAUCCCUAGCUUUUCAACAAAGAUCGAGUUGUCUUCGAUAUACACACGACCAAGAGAAAUCAAGUGUUGCAGUAAUCUAUUUUCAUUUUGAAAGCAACAUGUAAGCUCCUUACAACCGGUGAUCUUCAACUCUUUAAAUACCAUUUUUCAAGCUUUUCAUGAACGCCUCUGUUGGGAAUCUCAAUUCUGAUACAUUUGAAAAUGUCAAACUCUCUAGUAAGUCAAAUUGAACUGUACUUGUGUCGUACACCACCAAUGUUUGAUCCAUGAAGCUGUUUGUAUUUGGAUACUGAAACCACCAAUUCCUCACAUCCAUAUAUCUCAAGCUGUGCUAAUGAAUCGAGCUUCUCUGGUAAAUCACCCUCCAAUUUAGGGCAGCCGAUGAUGGAAAGUUCUUUCAGGCAAGAGAAAACUGUAACCCCCUCACUUUGUUGGCAAGGAGACCACUUCUUCCAAUGUUUCAGUGAGAGAAAAGGGUGAAACGGUGAGAGAAUGUCAUGCACUCCACCUGUUUGAUGAAAUGCUGCAUUCAAAUGAGUUGGGUAAUCUAGGAGGACUGUUGCAGCUCUUACGAGUAUUCGAGAUAAAGGUGAGGGACUUGCUCACCAACCUUUAGAAUAUGCACUUGAGGUGAAUCGUGCAAAAGAGAAUGAAGGUGUUGACAUGAAGGCUAAUCAACUUGAGGAUGGCAAUGCUAUAUCGGAGAUAGGUUUUAGCUCUCAACUUAUAUUCAAAGCAAUGAUUUACUUAAGAUUGUUUCCAGGGCAGAGGUUCCAAUUGAUGGGAUUGUAAUUACCGAUCAAAGCCAUGUGAAUGAGAGUAUUGGUCACACAUGAGGCAAGGGCCAUUUGUGAAAGAUUUGGUUACAGGAUAAUUGGUGGCACCAUGAGUGAUGGAUGCUUACAGGUUAAGGCAAUCCGUCUUUUUGAGGUUGAUAAAGAAAUUGAUGAAAAUGUGGGAUUAAGUCAGUCUCGAGUGUCGAAAGGGAGAGAUCAAAAUGAAAAUGAUGUUAAACAGGAUUUGAAGAUUUACCAGUCAAGUUAUUUUAUUGGAGGCACUGUAGUUUUUUCGGAUAUUCAUGAGCUGGAAAAUUAUUGAUUUUCAACUGGAUGCCUACAGCAGCAAGUCCUUUUUAGGUCUUAUGCCCCUUGAAAGAGUUAUUAAACAUGUGUUGUGGAAGUGUGAAUGGUGAAUGGGAUAACUUACUUGCGGGUGGUUCAUCUGUUACAUUGCUCACCAAGGAUAUAUGUAAUGUUCUGUGGGUGAGUUCUGAUGCACUAAAGCUAAUCCAAUAUGGGUUGGGGACUGCAGUUGUUUUUGUGAAGGAUAAACCACCUGAUAUUGUGGGUAAUAGUUAUGAGAGCAUACGAGCGAAUUCUAAAAGGGUACUGGAGUUAAUAUUGGAGAAGUGGAAAUCAAGAGGUACUGCCGAAACAGUUAUUGGCUUGCAGUGUUGCUAUUGUGAGGCAGAGGAGAUUCUACUCUCUUGCAGGGAAGCAUUCAACAUAAUUGGUGAAAUGACUCAAACCACCUCAUUGUCCCAGGUAUCCACUGUAAAUUUUCAAGAUGAUAGACGAGAUUUUGUGAGUUUCUUUUGUGACAUGAUUAAGCUGUAUGUCGUGAUCUUUAGUGCUUUUAUUGAUAAUGCUGGAAGUUCGCUUCAUGCUGAUAUAUUCGAGAUAAAUGGAUCUAUUGCUAGCUCUCUUGUUGAUAUGUAUGCCCACUGUGGAGUAGAUAUAGAAGAGACUGUUUUUUACUUGAUGAUAUCCAGGGGUUUAGGGAAUAUGGGUCCGAUUAUUAGUUCAGUGGCUGACUCCUCAAAUAAGAACUCAUUUUCAGUUGAGGUUGUUGGGGUUUUUGCUUGGGAUGGUGAUCCAGGGUCUUCACACAUCAAAAGGGCCAAGGCCGAGAUGUCAACUAUUUGUGUUUUGGACUAUGAGAAUGGGUUUAGUGCAACAGAAGUGCCCCAGUUUGGUGGAAUUGAUUUUGGCCAGGGGUUUUCAAGUGAUGAAAUGCAUAGGUCUGGAUUCAUGUUAUAUGGGUUGGGGUCAAUGAAGAAUUUUGCUACUCCACAUGAAGUUAUUGCUGUCUCUUGGAAUGUUAAUUUGCUGGCAGCAUAUGUCAAGUCUGGAUAUAUAUAUAGCGGCCAUCAAUUGUGGGGUGAUAACACAUAUGUCAUCUCAUUCUCAAAUGUGACUUCAUGGAAUCACAUAUUCUGUUGCUAUUUCCAUAAUGAGAUCAACAUGGAGGUAAAAAAUAUAAUUAAUAGCAUACAAGAAGUUGUUGUUUGCUGGAACUAUAUGAUAGCAGGGAAUUCACUCAAUUCUCAACAUGAGGUGAUUACCAUGCAAAUUUCCUAUGCUACUAUACUGCUGAGUUGCUGUGCAAAGCUUGCUUAUUCAUCUCCAGGGAAACAUGUUCAUGUCCGGUUACGUUUAACAAAAUUUGGAUAUGUGAAUGAUGCCUUAGUUGAGUUUCAUGAUCAAAUGUCCCCACGAUACAAGUCAAAGAUAAUGAAGUAUCUCAGAGAGCAUCUGAAAUCAUCAAGUGAGCUCUUACUUCCUCAUGUGAUUCAACUCUCUUUGGUGGAAUCUACUUAUCAAAGUAAAUUGGUGAUGACUUUAUGCACUAGUUUAUUGGAUGAGCUUUACAACAGAGGAAUUGGAUUUAGCCAUAUUGCAACAUCCAUGCAGAGUGUAUCAAUUGGAAAUGGUUCUAUGCUUGUGCUAUUGCAACUGGUUUGGUUGAUGUUAGAAAAACUUUUCAAGUGUGAGCACAAGGAAAAUGUAUUUACCAGUUUCGAGCUACUGUUGACUAACCAAUUUAUCAUAUAGGCUCUUGGGUUCCAGCAAAAGCUCUUUAUUCUUAUUGGUCUACUAGUGACAGAGAGUUUACCUUAUGAUCUAAUCGUGAUAUGGGGUGAUGAAUGGUUUUUGUCAGGAAAACACUAUUGUUUUCUUGGAUAUGUGGAUGAGGUGAACAAGUGUUCAUUCAAGUUGCUUGGCAAGCUCAAGGCUGAGCGUAAGUGUGAUAACACCAUUGAUAUCACGUUGUGGAAGUUUGAGACCACCAAGUACUACACUGACAUUGUUGCUCCCAGACAUCCUGAUUUCAUCAAGGAUAUGAUUACUAGUACUUCCAAGGCUGAUUAUGUUAUCCUCAUCAUUGACUCCACCACUGGGGGUUUCGGAAGCUGAUAUCUCGAAGGAUGGGCUAGCCUGCGAGUACAUUCUGUUCACUUUCACUCUUGGUGACAAGCAGAUGAUCUAUUGCUGCAACAAGACUUAAUGGGAUGCCAUACUCCCUUGCAGGUGGUUAUUUGAGCUCCAAUUAUCUAGCAGGGUACUUCUCUUAUGCUCAUAUGAUCCUUUCGAAAUCAGUACACAUCAUGGAAUCGUUGCUGCAACAUUCUUCAGUUUUUUCCUGUUAACUUGUGGGGAAGUAUUUGAAGAUCUAUGUUUUUGGGUGCUGUUUAGUCUAGACCAUAGUUGGUUAAAUUGCAAUGUCUCUUUGGUAAUUGAAACUUGAGGUCAAGUUUGCUAAAGGGGGAUGGAUUGUUAUGAUAUUUUACUCACUUAGUCAUGUGCCGCGCGCAUGUGACCAGCCAAAUAGGUUUAUAUGUACUCAUUUGAGAGUUUUUGCUCAGUGUCAAUGAAAAUAUCAGCAUUUUAAUUUCUUUCAUUUAUGCAUUUCUUUACUUUUCUCUCUAGUUAGGGCUAAUACCCUAACACCACCGUCUGCGUCGUGUAGGACUUGAAUCCUUCCAAGGUCACCUCCUUGAUGUACAUAGCUGUGCUCACCGGAGAGAUGCGGACGCUAACCGUGGCUGAUUUUGGAGAGAUUUAGGGUCGGUGGUUAGAUCGGAACCCUAGAAAUUUGAGCUUCUGGUUUUUGGUUUUGGGAACUUGAAAGUCUGAAAUGAAAUGGUUCGAAUUUCUUUUUAUUGUUUUCCACUUUUUUGGUGGGUUCGAAUUUUUAAUUAACCCUAGACAAAGGUGGGAAAAGACAGAUAUUUGGGCCAAUGACUUAUAUCUUGGGCUUUAUCCAACAGUGUAUGAGCUGAACGAUAUCGUUUUAUAACGCAGGAUUUUGAUUUUAAAUUCUCGGUUUUCCGAGUUUGAAAACUCAUUAAAAACGAUCGGGUGAAGAUUUUUCAAGUUCGUCAGUUUUACAAUUACUUAAAAUCAUGAUUUACCAAUGUAAAGACUUUGGUGAACAUAUAAGAAUAUAGGAUUUUUGUCAAAAAAAAACGUGCUAUAACCCACAUUUUCGGAUGGAUAUCAUGAUUUUGAACAAUUUUUUGUUUUCUUUGAGAAAGCUCUGUUGUUGGUUCUUAUUGUAAAACUAGUGUUUUACAAGUGUUCUCCACAGCAAUUUCUAUGAUAUAGAAGAGUCAAAACUUCUUUUUCUCAGACAGACUGGUUCAGUACAACAGGCUACACUCGGCAUUGUACUUGUUUCUAUAGUCUGUUUGUAUGAAUAUCUACUCACCUCAGUUUCUUUUUUACAUACAUACACAAGAAUCAAUAAUGCCAUUUUGGUCUUUUUUCCUCUUCCUUUUCGGUCAACUCCCGGUACUGAUACCACACUGCUCCAGACUUACCCACUGGGAUUGGAGACCUAACAAAUAUUUCGACUGGCUUGGGGAAAUGCACAGCUAAAUGCAGUUCCCCUGCAGUUUUUUCUGAAUUUGAAUCAGAACUUUUUAAUAAUCUGCAAAUAGGUUCAAUACUAAUCCACCCUAAGCCUGAUAUAGCGACAUCACAUGCUGGCCUGCAUACAAGGAAAAGAGAAGAAUUCUCAUAUUGAUUAACCAACUAACUUUAUGGAAAUAUCAGAACUGCAAUACUCAUAUGAAUGAUUUACCUUUGCACGUCUUGAACUUUUAUUUGCAAUUGACGCUGAGAGUCGAGACCUCUCCAUUCAUCUUCUCUUUCUUUCCCAGUUGGAGGUGUCAGUAAGACUCCAAUGUGUUUCUGCAACAUGUUAAAAGGCACAUUAGAGCAUCUCCAACAACUUCCCUAUUUUCUUAAACUUCUCAAUUUUGGGGAAUAUAAAGUUGUUUUUAGGUCCAACAGCUUACCCAUCCCAUUCCCCAAAAUAGGGAUGAAGAAGAAAAAGAAGCCUUCAUUCCCCAAAUUUGCAGCAAAGUCUUCCUUCCUCAAAAUUAAAUUAUUCACGUACUCCAACGAAUUUAAAACAACAAUAAAAUAUUUGAUUGGGUAGUUUAUUGUUACAAUGAAAUAUGUAAUGUUUUUUUUGUUAUAAUUCAUGAUGAUAUAUUAUAUUUUAUGGUUGUAUUAAAUGUCAAAAUCUCUAAAAUGGAGAAGCUGCUGGAUUUUGAUCAUAAUUUUUUUGAAGAUUUUAGCUUUUACUUCCUCAUUUUAGAGAAAUUUUGGAGAAGCUGUUAGAGAUGCUCUUACAAUCACACGAAUCAGUUUAAAGAGAAAAAUAUAAUGCACAGCUUUAAGGUCGGAAUGGUAUCACAUUUUCAUAGUGUCAGUAACAUAAAAGGGUUCACUUUAAUUGUUUUCAAAAUAUUUUAAAUGCUUCAUAAGUCAGCUGUACUUGGGAAAUAAGAAACUUUAUGAAUCUCAAGUGGGACGUUGAUUACCUGGUAAAAUUCAUCCACCUCAUCAGUUGGUACCAUAUGAAUCUGAAGACUCUUUGGCCCAUAAAACGUUAAACGUGUUUCAAGAAGAACCUGAAAUUAUCAAUAUUUGAUUACUCAGGAAACACCGUAUAUGCAUCAGCCAGAUAAAGAUCGUAUCUGAAGCUACAAGGCCAAACCAAACCUUUAAGACAUCUACUCUGACAAGACCUCCCCAGAAUAUUGAAUAGCCAUUCCAAUCAUUGGAAUUGCCUUGCCUUGUUGUUCCACUUCCAGAAACCAGAGAAUUCUGGAGGGAUAAGAAACAGUCAACAACUCAAACAUAGACAAAAAAGUAUGUCAUUCUUAUGAAUGAUCAGUUAUGUUGCCUUGAAGAGGUUGUUACAUUAUGGUGAUCUCAUUCUCAGGUGGUCCUGGUAGUGGGGGAGGCAAUGUGCUGAGAGGGCAAUGUGCUAAGACUUUGGGUUCACUCAUGCUUCUCCCCAGAUCUCUUGUUCAAUUCAAAGAGGUGAGUCCCUGAGUUUGUAACAAAAAGCUCACCAUAACAUACACGUCACACCCCUGCCAAAGAACUCAAUUUGGAGUUCAUGUAAAUGAUAGAAGUUCAUGUUCCAAUUCAUUCAACAGAAAGUACAAAAUAUGCCUGAGAAUGGAUAAUGCUAUACACAUAAACUGAUAUCAAUGGCUUAAACAAUGAACCGGACACAUGCAUACACAUAACUAAGAAGUGCAUACCUUCUUUUCCUUUUGAAUCUCUGAUGCAACUCCAGCUAGCUAGCUACUCCAACCGAAGACUUUGAACUCAUCAGAUGAAUGCUUAUAACACUGCAAACAAGCACCAAGGGAAACUCAUUUGGAUGGAUAAUAUAUAAAUAAGUACAAGCAAAGGCCAAUGAAACUAAUCUUACUUAAGCUUCUUCUUUACAGCGGCCUCCAGUCCUCCGCAACUCAAUCACCAGUACAAAUUAAAUCAGUCCCCCUUGGGAAGUACAUCAACCUGUCAUUAGAAAGUCCAAUUAGAAAACUGCAUGAAUCAAUGCCACAUUACAUAAGUACCAAUGAGCAGCUUAAUACCUCAGUAAUCACUAAUAUUAUCAGAUUCGCACCAGCCAAAAAGCUACCAUUGAAGUCCACAAUAUCAAGUUAUCAACCAACAUAACCAUCUGCCUAGUUCAAAAUUUAGUCAGUAGAUUAAGAAAUGAAUUUGGUGUUGAUAGGUAAGUAAUCUAGAAUCUGUGCAUACUUUAGAGGCAACAAAAAUGUUUUCUCUUUCCACCGUCCCAUCUUGAAUAGCCUCUGUUAAAACUAUUCCCAGGGCAGCCUCAGAACCAUAUAUCCUGGCUGUAACAAAAUGCCUGUAACGUUCCCAUUUUCAGAUAUUUGCAGGAAAUUGGAGCAUACUACCCUGGAAAGGCUACUACAUAUAUAUGUUUUGCCAUUAAAACUUACUUACAACACUAUCUAUAAAAGAGUCUCAUGCUGUUGUUCAACAUAUAUGUUUUGCUACUAAAUAUGUUACAUUUAAAAGUUCGAACUAUUUACUUUAUUGACAAAUAUCAACCCUUGAGAGUGUUUGAGUGUCACAGUUUACACAACCAGCUAUGGCAGCUUGUGUUUGAUUAGUAGCUUGAUUAAGAUGACAUAAUACAUUGUUAUAAAGCCAUUGAAUACAACGAGUAUUUGAAUAGUGAUUAGCAAAUUAAACUUCAACAUAGAAUACAAAACUACAUGCAAUACAGUUCAAACGCCUGAUGCAAGUUUUCCAGCACGUACGAAACAAAACUAACAAAUUGAAAUGCAUUUUCACAGCUUAGCGUAUUUGACCAACCUCGACAGAGCUGAAAUUACAAGUGCGUACCUGGAAACGACUCGAUCCAGGAGUGUUGGUUUUCUCUUAUAUGACUUCCCUAUUAAUUCGUACACAAGGGAUGUGUGCUAUCUUGUGCCGGUAUCGUCCAUUGUAUCUCUGCUCAAGUAGAGGACAGUUGUCAAUAUCAAGUUCCUCAAGUAAAAGAGGCAGGCCUUCCUCCACUGGAAGGGUUGUAAGCUUCGGACAGUCGAAGAUCCGAAUAUUUUCAAGAGAGGUGAGGAUUUGAAAGCCCUUGCUCAGUUUCUUUAGAUUUGGGAAGCCUUCAAUUGUCAAAUCAACAAGAGAUCUGGGGAGCAGUAUCUCCGUCUCCUUUGAAUUCUCAGCAGCAGGUGGAAAUGACACCAGACCUCCAUCAUCUUCACCGCUCAGAUACAAAUAUGUCAAAGAGGCGAGUCUCUGCAACCCUUGAGAUUCCAUCAGCGCCUUACAGUUCUUGAUCUUCCAGAUUGACAGUGAUGUUAGGUUGGUGGGGAAGGAAGUUGUAGUUGUCAAACCUUCAAAGUAAUCAAUUGUCAGUAUUUCAAGAUUACUGGUGUGCAUCAUGUCUCUCGCCAACUGUGCCACCUCCAAUUUAUCGCAAUUUCCGAUCCGUAUCUGUCUUGGCCACACAUUCAUUCUCGGCAACGAAACAAGACUUUGACAAUUCUGAAUAGUUAAUGACUGAAGAUUGCACAGUCCCUCGGGUAAGGAUUUCAGGUUUGGGCAGUCAAAGAUGUAAAUUAACUCGAGUUGGCAGCUGUCAUCGAGGAACCUCUCACUGAUUAGCUCCAGCUGUCCACAUUCCUGUAUAUCAAGCUGUUCAAGAGACCUGGGUAAUUGACCUUUGCAUAAUAAGCACAUCAAAGAGGGACAUUCUAUUAUCCUCAAAUGCUCAAGACAAGAAGAAGAAGAACCGUUACCCACCUCCUCCUCUUUCUCUAUUAAUGACUUCAAAUUCCCACAUCUCUUAAUCCCUAUUCUUUUUAGGCUGGGAGGAAUCUGGUAUUUUGCAAAGUGCAACAGAGAUUCGCAGUCCUUAAUCACUAUGACUUGGAGACAAGGUGGCAGACC